AGAGUUUGAUCAUGGCUCAGGAUGAACGCUGGCGGCGUGCCUAAUACAUGUAAGUCGAACGGAAGAUGUAGCAAUAUGUCUUUAGUGGCGAACGGGUGAGUAACGCGUUGGUGACCUGCCCCGAAGAGAGGGAUAACAGACCGAAAGGUUUGCUAAUACCGCGUAAUUUCCUUCUAGUUAGAGAGGAGGGAAGAAAGGCCGAAAGGCGCUUUGGGAGGGGCCUGCGUCCCAUCAGCUAGUUGGCGAGGUAAAAGCUCACCAAGGCGAUGACGGGUAGGGGACCUGAGAGGGUGACCCCCCACAAUGGAACUGAAACACGGUCCAUACACCUACGGGUGGCAGCAGUAGGGAAUAUUGGUUAAUGGGCGAAAGCCCGACCCAGCAACGCCGCGUGCACGAAGAAGGCCUUCGGGUUGUAAAGUGCUUUUUAGUGGGAUGAGGAAGGACAGUACCACUAGAAUAAGUCUCGGCUAACUACGUGCCAGCAGCCGCGGUAACACGUAGGAGACGAGCGUUAUCCGGAUUUACUGGGUGUAAAGCGCGUGCAGGCGGUCGGGUAAGUUGGAUGUGAAAGCUCCUGGCUUAACUGGGAGAGGUCGUUCAAAACUGCCGGGCUAGAGUGCAACAGAGGGGAGUGGAAUUCCGAGUGUAGCGGUAAAAUGCAUAGAUAUUCGGAAGAACACCAGUGGCGAAGGCGGCUCUCUGGGUUGCAACUGACGCUCAGACGCGAAAGCUAGGGUAGCGAACGGGAUUAGAGACCCCGGUAGUCCUAGCCGUAAACGAUGUGGACUUGGCGUGGGUGGGUUGAAAUCCAUCUGUGCCGAAGCAAACGCGAUAAGUCCACCACCUGGGGACUACGGCCGCAUGGUUAAAACUCAAAGGAAUUG
RNAcentral lists this ribosomal RNA (887 nucleotides) under uncultured bacterium. Its description in RNAcentral is "bacterial SSU rRNA". It matches the Rfam family "Bacterial small subunit ribosomal RNA", at positions 8 to 912 of the family's 1533-position model. The record is from RNAcentral.